CCUACGGGGGGCAGCAGUGAGGAAUAUUGGUCAAUGGACGAGAGUCUGAACCAGCCAAGCCGCGUGAAGGAUGACUGCCCUAUGGGUUGUAAACUUCUUUUAUAAAGGAAUAAAACGAGGCACGUGUGCCUUUUUGCAUGUAUUUUAUGAAUAAGGAUCGGCUAACUCCGUGCCAGCAGCCGCGGUAAUACGGAGGAUUCGAGCGUUAUCCGGAUUUAUUGGGUUUAAAGGGAGCGUAGGUGGGUUGUUAAGUCAGUUGUGAAAUUUUGCGGCUCAACCGUGAAAUUGCAAUUGAUACUGGCAGUCUUGAGUGCAGUUGAGGUAGGCGGAAUUCGUGGUGUAGCGGUGAAAUGCUUAGAUAUCACGCAGAACCCCGAUUGCGAAGGCAGCUUACUAAGCUGUGACUGACAUUGAUGCUCGAAAGUGUGGGUAUCAAACAGGAUUAGAUACCCUUGUAGUC
This 460-nucleotide ribosomal RNA is filed under the name uncultured bacterium. RNAcentral's name for it is "partial 16S ribosomal RNA". It matches the Rfam family "Bacterial small subunit ribosomal RNA", at positions 338 to 795 of the family's 1533-position model. The record is from RNAcentral.